Non-coding RNA from Macrolepiota fuliginosa MF-IS2, 84 nucleotides. Lineage: Eukaryota; Fungi; Basidiomycota; Agaricomycetes; Agaricales; Agaricaceae. The record is from the annotation of a GenBank genome assembly.
GGACCCCUAGCUCAGUGGUAGAGCGUGAGAUUCCAGCUCCGAGUUGUUUCCUCAAGGUCAUCCGUUCAAUCCGGGUGGGGUUCA